UUAGGUUAAGUUAUGAAGGGCGCAUGGUGAAUGCCUUGGUACUAGGAGCCGAUGAAGGACGGGACUAACACCGAUAUGCUUCGGGGAGCGGUAAGUACGCUUUGAUCCGGAGAUUUCCGAAUGGGGAAACCCAAUCAGCUUAGUCGCUGAUUACUUGACUAGUGAAUACAUAGCUAGCAAGAGGUAGACGCAGUGAACUGAAACAUCUUAGUAGCUGCAGGAAGAGAAAGAAACAUCGAUUCCCUGAGUAGCGGCGAGCGAAAAGGGAAGAGCCCAAACCAACAAGCUUGCUUGUUGGGGUUGUAGGACUGAACAUUAGAGUUACCAAAGUGCGACGUAGUCGCAACAGUUGGGAAGCUGUGCCAUAGAGGGUGAAAGCCCCGUAGACGAAACGUCACACUCUCUGUUCAGGAUCCUGAGUACGGCGGGACACGUGAAACCCCGUCGGAACCCGCGAGGACCAUCUCGCAAGGCUAAAUACUCCCUAGUGACCGAUAGUGAACCAGUACCGUGAGGGAAAGGUGAAAAGCACCCCGGAAGGGGAGUGAAAUAGUUCCUGAAACCAUGUGCUUACAAGCUGUCGGAGCCCGUUAAUGGGUGACGGCGUGCCUCUUGCAGAAUGAACCGGCGAGUUACGAUUGCAUGCAAGGUUAAGGUGGAAAAACCGGAGCCGUAGCGAAAGCGAGUCUUAAAUGGGCGUAAGAAGUAUGUAGUUGUAGACCCGAAAUCAGGUGACCUACCCAUGUCCAGGUUGAAGG
Molecule: ribosomal RNA, 758 nt
Filed under: Bifidobacterium longum
Lineage: Bacteria; Bacillati; Actinomycetota; Actinomycetes; Bifidobacteriales; Bifidobacteriaceae
Description: bacterial LSU rRNA
Rfam family: Bacterial large subunit ribosomal RNA
Source: RNAcentral